CUGCAGACGAGAUCUGCAGCUUUUGCAAGUUAUUUUUACAUGUAUCCCCAAUGACAAAAAUGCAUUAUUAAAUGCAUCCAUGUUUCCAUUGAGGGUAUAUCUACUAAACAGUGAUAUAUCUAUUUAUUUAUUUUGUUUGGCCAGCUGAGUGUCCCUUUAAAACAACACGCAGAUGUAUUCUGUGAAUGAUAGUAAUUCACUGCUCUCUCUUAGAUGACAAGGUUUUAAAUGGCAAAUCAUAAUUUUGCU
Pelobates cultripes (western spadefoot toad) is the source of this 249-nucleotide non-coding RNA. The record is from the annotation of a GenBank genome assembly. Lineage: Eukaryota; Metazoa; Chordata; Amphibia; Anura; Pelobatidae.